UACAGAGGGGGCAAGCGUUGUUCGGAAUUACUGGGCGUAAAGGGCUCGUAGGUGGCCAACUAAGUCAGACGUGAAAUCCCUCGGCUUAACCGGGGAACUGCGUCUGAUACUGGAUGGCUUGAGUUCGGGAGAGGGAUGCGGAAUUCCAGGUGUAGCGGUGAAAUGCGUAGAUAUCUGGAGGAACACCGGUGGCGAAGGCGGCAUCCUGGACCGACACUGACACUGAGGAGCGAAAGCCAGGGGAGCAAACGGG
RNAcentral lists this ribosomal RNA (253 nucleotides) under uncultured bacterium. RNAcentral's name for it is "partial 16S ribosomal RNA". It matches the Rfam family "Bacterial small subunit ribosomal RNA", at positions 524 to 776 of the family's 1533-position model. The record is from RNAcentral.